AACGAACGCUGGCGGCAUGCCUAACACAUGCAAGUCGAACGAGACCUUCGGGUAUAGUGGCGCACGGGUGCGUAACGUGUGGGAACCUUCCCUUAUGGUUGGAAUAACUCCCCGAAAGGGGUGCUAAUACCGGACAAUGUCUUCUGACCAAAGAUUUAUCGCCUUUGGAUGGGCCCGCGUUGGAUUAGCUUUUUGGUAGGGUAAAAGCCUACCAAGGCGACGAUCCAUAGCUUGUCUGAGAGAAAGAUCAGCCACACUGGGACUGGGACACGGCCCAGACUCCUACGGAAGGCAGGAGUGGGGAAUAUUGGACAAUGGGCGAAGGCAUGAACCAGCAAUGCCGCGAGAGUGAUGAAGGCCUUAGGGAUGAAAAGCUGUUUUACCCGGGAUGAUAAUGACAGUACCGGGAGAAUAAGCUCCGGCUAACUCCGUG
Molecule: ribosomal RNA, 433 nt
Filed under: uncultured bacterium
Lineage: Bacteria
Description: partial 16S ribosomal RNA
Rfam family: Bacterial small subunit ribosomal RNA
Source: RNAcentral